Long non-coding RNA from Mus musculus (house mouse), 269 nucleotides. RefSeq annotates it as predicted gene, 53440. Lineage: Eukaryota; Metazoa; Chordata; Mammalia; Rodentia; Muridae. The record is from RefSeq and is a predicted model, not a curated record. The transcript is spliced from 3 exons.
CGUACGCAAAACAUUGUUUGCUCAAGGUUGGGGCAUUUGAGUGUCCUCUGGUCUGAGCAGACUGGUGAGACUUCCUGUGGUCUGCCUGUGCCUUACCCCAGCUUCCUCCUGGACAGCUCGAACUUCUCCCUGCUUGAUCCCUCAAGCUUGCCAUCUGCAAGUGAAUAGCAAAGACAGAGUCUUACUAUGGACCUAGGCUGUCCUUGAACUCCAGGUCUUACCUCUUCAAGUUUUAGAAUUACAGAUGACCUGCGUAUUCAUAUUCUAGC